UAGUAAGAAGCAACUAACAAGAAGCUGCGACACAGAACGUACAGUUAAUUAAAGGUUUCGACAGUCAGGUAGCCAGAGAUACGCGCCCCAGAACUUAAUACCGCGCAUAAACAUGAGAUUUAUCAUGGCAAAUGAUCAACGCACGAUUUAUGCUCAUUACAAAUAUGGCCAGCCACGAAUUGGCCAGUAAAAAAAAUAAAAAAGCGGUCCAGAGAGGCAGAAGCAGCUGAAGCCAAAUUGCAUUUACUUUGGCUGCCAUCGAAGCCGACAUAAAUAAAAGUCAAAAUAAAGAGUUGCAAAUGGUGCAGUGCCACAUACAUUUUGGUGUUACUCGCGUGCGCUACAGCACAGAUACAGUGGGCCAGCUGCACGGAAUUCCUAUCAAAAUGUUUUUACACAGCUUUAAAAUAUUAAAAAAUAUAUUAUAUUUUAUGUUUGGAUGUACUCUCAUAGAAAAGGUACUGUUAAAUACAACUCUGUAUAUAUUCAUUUUUUUAAAGGUUUUAAUGAAAUGUUCAGUCUUCUUUGGAGUUCGAAGAUUGUAUGCUUUUAAGUUGUCCUACACUUAAAGCAAAACAAUUUGCUACGUAGGUAUAGGUAUUCCCACGAGUAUUUCACAGUGACCUGUUGAACUUUGAAAGAUUUAUGUCAAUCCAUUUCUCUGACUAAUUUGACCAACUGGUCGCUGCCGGCACAGGCCCCAGGCUUCCUUCCUGUUGCUAUCUAUCCCAGAUAUAUUUAUGUAUAGCUAUCCCAGCAGUUUGGCAUUCGCAAUGCUCCGUGGCAACCCUGGCCGGCCCAUAAAAUCCAACUACUUAACUACAAUGCGCCGCAGCAGUGCACUUAACGCAUUUUUCACGCUUGACAUUUGACUUGGGGCGCACUUUUCUCGUUGUCGUCGUCGUCGUUUCUGCUUCUCUGCUGUCUUUUGUUGUUGCUGGGCCUGGGGAAACUCAGAGUAUCUGAAACUGAAAAACUUAAAGUAUCUGUGCGGUGCACCGCAACAGCUAUCCAAAGUCAGACGCGCUCUUAAUUUUCGUUCUAUCUGCACAGUCAGUGAGACACAUUUGGCAUGUGACGUCACUUGGGGACUAUGAAGCCAAACGUGAAUCAUCCGCGGCAAGCGCAAAUUGUUUUCCUCUCUUUUUUUUAGUCUGUGUUUUUGAUUUUGUACACCAAAAUAAAUUUCCAUUUCCAAAGAAAUAGCACAAAUAUACUGUUUUAAAUGUGUUAUAAAUACAUACGUUUUAUAUUCCUAUGAUUAA
Drosophila yakuba is the source of this 1265-nucleotide long non-coding RNA. RefSeq lists it as uncharacterized. The transcript has 2 exons. Lineage: Eukaryota; Metazoa; Arthropoda; Insecta; Diptera; Drosophilidae. The record is from RefSeq and is a predicted model, not a curated record.